CGCGGUGUAGCUCAAUGGCAGAGCACCGGGUUCAUGCCCCGGAUGUCGCAGGUUCGAUUCCUGCCAUCGCAACCA
This 75-nucleotide transfer RNA is filed under the name Achromobacter sp. 2789STDY5608628. RNAcentral's name for it is "tRNA-Met(cat)". It matches the Rfam family "tRNA". From Rfam's summary of the family: Transfer RNA (tRNA) molecules are approximately 80 nucleotides in length. Lineage: Bacteria; Pseudomonadati; Pseudomonadota; Betaproteobacteria; Burkholderiales; Alcaligenaceae. The record is from RNAcentral.